AUUGAACGCUGGCGGCAGGCCUAACACAUGCAAGUCGAACGAGUGGCGGACGGGUGAGUAAUGCUUGGGAAUCUGGCUGAUGGAGGGGGAUAACUACGGGAAACGGUAGCUAAUACCGCAUACCAUAGGAUGAGCCCAGAUGGGAUUAGCUAGUUGGUGAGGUAAAGGCUCACCAAGCCGACGAUCUCUAGCUGGUCUGAGAGGAUGACCAGCCACACUGGAACUGAGACACGGCCCAGACUCCUACGGGAGGCAGCAGUGGGGAAUAUUGCGCAAUGGGGGCAACCCUGACGCAGCCAUGCCGCGUGAAUGAAGAAGGCCUUCGGGUUGUAAAGUUCUUUCGGUAGCGAGGCGUUAACUACAGAAGAAGCACCGGCUAACUCCGUGCCAGCAGCCGCGGUAAUUC
RNAcentral lists this ribosomal RNA (406 nucleotides) under uncultured bacterium. RNAcentral's name for it is "partial 16S ribosomal RNA". It matches the Rfam family "Bacterial small subunit ribosomal RNA", at positions 30 to 526 of the family's 1533-position model. The record is from RNAcentral.